This 533-nucleotide long non-coding RNA is filed under the name Lupinus angustifolius (narrow-leaved blue lupine). Its description in RNAcentral is "long non-coding RNA (LANG_LNC003402)". Lineage: Eukaryota; Viridiplantae; Streptophyta; Magnoliopsida; Fabales; Fabaceae. The record is from RNAcentral.
GGGGCGCAACACUGCUUAAUGAUUUAAAAAAUAGAGAAAAAACUAACGUACCAACCACUUGUAUGUUGGUGCCAAGAAAGUUGACAUUUACUUAAUUCAUAUCAAUUAUUCUAACAUAACAUAAUUACACAUCCUCUAGUGUGUAAAUCACUAACAUUUUCCUCAACUAGUGAUUCUUAAGGCACUAAUAUAUCUAUACCAUAAGAAGUAAGAGACAAAUGAAAUGAAUGGAGGAACAAGAAAUAACAUCCUCUUUGGCAUAAUCUGGAACCACUCUGACCCUUCUUCAAUGAUGGGUUCCAACCUUGGAUAACUAUGUGCACAUUUUUGUGGGGUUAUGUAGAGAGCUGGUGCAACCUCUCCACAAUUUUGGAGGAUGCCACUGACUUCUUUCACCAUCUUCUUCAACAUUUUCAGAAAUAAUGGAAAUGAAAGAAACUCAACUUCACACCAAAAAGAUUUUAAAGAAUAUGGUUGGGGUUUGGCUGAAAGUAAAGAAAUAAUUAGUUCACAACUUUAGAUUCCAAUUAGAU